This 446-nucleotide long non-coding RNA is filed under the name Homo sapiens (human). Its description in RNAcentral is "HSALNT0298085". Lineage: Eukaryota; Metazoa; Chordata; Mammalia; Primates; Hominidae. The record is from RNAcentral.
GUGCCCUUAGAAGAGAGACCCUGAGAGAUCCCUUGGCCCUCUGCCAUGUAAGCAUGGCCAUCUAUGAACCAGGAAGCAGGCCCUCACCAGACACUGAUUCUCCCACAUGUCGUGAUCUUGGACUUCCCAGAAGGGAUGGAAGACCUCUCUAGCCAAUGGGAAGAUGGCAAGAUGUGUGAAUGUACCCCUGGGAGCAAAAUCACAGAGCCUGUGUAAUCCUCUAUACAUGUAGGGACUGAGUGUGGGUAUCUCUGGCCAGUGUGGAUGUUGACCACGUUGUUUCGUAACCCUGCCUCACUUGCUCCUCUCUCCCCAACCUCCAGAACUGCCUAUCUAACUCAUCUGUGGUGAUGGAAUGCUAUUUCUUUCACAUUACCCUGAUUAAGUAUCAUUAGAAAGGUAACUGCUGUGCUUAAAACAAAUAAAUCACCUAACACAUUCCAGAG